RNAcentral lists this ribosomal RNA (399 nucleotides) under uncultured bacterium. RNAcentral describes it as "bacterial SSU rRNA". It matches the Rfam family "Bacterial small subunit ribosomal RNA", at positions 28 to 430 of the family's 1533-position model. The record is from RNAcentral.
GACGAACGCUGGCGGCGUGCUUAACACAUGCAAGUCGAGCGGUAAGGCCCUUUCGGGGGUACACGAGCGGCGAACGGGUGAGUAACACGUGGGUGACCUGCCUCUAGCUCUGGGAUAAGCCUGGGAAGCUGGGUCUAAUACCGGAUAUGACCUCGCGGUGCAUGUUGCGGGGUGGAAAGCCUUGUGCGGCUAGGGAUGGGCCCGCGGCCUAUCAGCUUGUUGGUGGGGUGANGGCCUACCAAGGCGACGACGGGUAGCCGGCCUGAGAGGGCGACCGGCCACACUGGGACUGAGACACGGCCCAGACUCCUACGGGAGGCAGCAGUGGGGAAUCUUGCGCAAUGGGCGAAAGCCUGACGCAGCGACGCCGCGUGAGGGAUGACGGCCUCGGUUGUAACG